GACGUAGGGGGGCGAGCGUUGUCCGGAUUCACUGGGCGUAAAGCGCGCGUAGGCGGCUCGUUAAGUCGGAUGUGAAAACCCGGGGCUCAACCCCGGGCCUGCACCCGAUACUGGCGGGCUGGAGGCAGGUAGGGGAGAUCGGGAAUUCCCGGUGUAGCGGUGAAAUGCGCAGAUAUCAGGAGGAACACCCGUAGCGAAGGCGGCACUCUGGGCCGGAACUGACGCUGAGGAGCGAAAGCGUGGGGAGCAAACAGG
RNAcentral lists this ribosomal RNA (255 nucleotides) under uncultured bacterium. RNAcentral describes it as "partial 16S ribosomal RNA". It matches the Rfam family "Bacterial small subunit ribosomal RNA", at positions 524 to 776 of the family's 1533-position model. The record is from RNAcentral.